RNAcentral lists this small nuclear RNA (102 nucleotides) under Cebus imitator (Panamanian white-faced capuchin). Lineage: Eukaryota; Metazoa; Chordata; Mammalia; Primates; Cebidae. The record is from RNAcentral.
GUGCUCUCUUCGGUAGCAUAUAUUAUUGGAACGAUACAGAGAAGAUUGGCAUGGCCCCUGUGCGAGGAUGACAUGCAAAUUCGUGAAGCGUUCCAUAUUUAA